Misgurnus anguillicaudatus (oriental weatherfish) is the source of this 136-nucleotide small nuclear RNA. RefSeq annotates it as U11 spliceosomal RNA. The record is from RefSeq and is a predicted model, not a curated record. Lineage: Eukaryota; Metazoa; Chordata; Actinopteri; Cypriniformes; Cobitidae.
AAAAAGGGUAUCUGCCAUGUUUGGCACAGUGGUGACAGGGAUUAACUGACACCGCUGCGGAAUCGCUAUCAAGAGAUUUCGGAUGCACAAUUUUUAUGAACAGGGGCAGCUAAUGAUCGUUGAUCUUGGCGCCCCA